This 253-nucleotide ribosomal RNA is filed under the name uncultured bacterium. RNAcentral's name for it is "partial 16S ribosomal RNA". It matches the Rfam family "Bacterial small subunit ribosomal RNA", at positions 524 to 776 of the family's 1533-position model. The record is from RNAcentral.
CACGUAGGAGGCGAGCGUUGUCCGGAAUCAUUGGGCGUAAAGAGCGCGCAGGCGGCUUGGCAAGUCGGGUGUGAAAUCCCGGGGCUCAACCCCGGGACUGCAUUCGAUACUGUCAGGCUAGAGGUAGGUAGGGGAGAUCGGAAUUCCUGGUGUAGCGGUGAAAUGCGCAGAUAUCAGGAGGAACACCGGUGGCGAAGGCGGAUCUCUGGGCCUUACCUGACGCUGAGGCGCGAAAGCUAGGGGAGCAAACAGG